GGCGUAGAAGAGGAAAGGCUGGGGGUUUCGGAUGGUUGUUUUUGAAGCCAUCAGUAUUCUUGAAGAAGCAGCAUAUCUUGAACUGUCCUAUGGGUGAAGGCUUUGAUGUGGUCCUGUAAAAACUGGCAUUGAAAUGGAUGGCAUCUGAUCCUGCUUCAUGUGAUUCUUCAUUUAGCUCUGGACUCUUUACAUCAUUAAGGUACCCUGAAUAUAUUCAGUAUGGCUUUUUCUUUGCAGGAAUUUAAAAGCAACCCUAUGAAUAUAACAUUUGUCAAAAAGAGCAAGUGCCAAGCCAGUUGAGAAUAACCUUACAAUGUGUACAAGGAUUCCAGGAUCUGACCAUUGUCCAGUUUCUUCGUGGUAUCACAAAGAAAAUGGCCUGGAAAAUCACACAAAAUAUAAUAUCCUAAUUUGCUUAGAAGGGUUGGGUCUAAUCUAUAUCAUGGGAUUCUUUUGGAUCAUCAUGCCAGCAGUGGAAGACUCAACAAACAAUUAAACGAUUAAAAUCAACAAACACUUAAAAUCAAAACUAACAACUAUAACAAAGUUCUGAGCUAGUCUGAGAUAGUUUAGUCUUCCAAUCAGUUGUAGGUGUGUGCAAUGAUUUGUGGCAAUAAGGAAGCAGACAGCAAAUAUUAAAUCUGAUGAUAAUCAGUCAUUAGAAUGACAUGAAGGCAGAAUACCAUAUGUACUUUGCAACUCCUCCCAUCAAAAAGUAGAAUCUAUCUCCUCAUCCUUUGAAUCAAGUCUGGCUUUGUUACUGGGUUUGAACUAUAGAAUAUAGCAUAAAUGACAGUGUCAGUUCUGAGCAUACAUUUCAAGAGGUCUUGCAGGUUUUGCUCUCAUUCUUUUACAGUUCUGCUGCUAUAUAAACCAGCCUCAAAUAGUCUGAGUCUGUGAUAUCACUGGGUCACCCCCAUCACUUCAGUAGAAGGCCUGCCACUGCCUGACAUGUGAAAGAGAGCAUCCAGGAUAAGCCACCUGUCAAACUGUCAACUUUAUGCAGAUAUACAAGUGACAGGUUUGAGAUCAGCCCAGCCCAGUCAACAGAGAAAUAUCCCAGUAGAAUCAUUAUAUAAUUAAAUAACAUUAAAAAAAAAAAAAAAAGAAAAA
Homo sapiens (human) is the source of this 1113-nucleotide long non-coding RNA. Ensembl annotates it as long intergenic non-protein coding RNA 2064. NCBI's taxonomy places the organism in Eukaryota, Metazoa, Chordata, Mammalia, Primates, Hominidae. The record is from Ensembl.